This 442-nucleotide ribosomal RNA is filed under the name uncultured bacterium. RNAcentral's name for it is "partial 16S ribosomal RNA". It matches the Rfam family "Bacterial small subunit ribosomal RNA", at positions 338 to 795 of the family's 1533-position model. The record is from RNAcentral.
CCUACGGGUGGCAGCAGUGGGGAAUAUUGGGCAAUGGGCGCAAGCCUGACCCAGCCACGCCGCGUGAAGGAAGACGGCUUUCGGGUUGUUAACUUCUUUUGAUAGGGAAGAGCAGAAGACGGUACCUGUCGAAUAAGCCACGGCUAACUACGUGCAAGCAGCCGCUGUAAUACGUAGGUGGCGAGCGUUGUCCGGAUUUACUGGGUGUAAAGGGUGUGUAGCCGGGCUGACAAGUCAGGUGUGAAAUCCGGGGGCUCAACCCCCGGACUGCAGUUGAAACUGUUGGUCUUGAGUACCGGGAAGGCAGGCGGAAUUCGUAGUGUAGCGGUGAAAUGCGUAGAUAUUAGGAGGAACACCAGUGGCGAAGGCGGCCUGCUGGACGACAACUGACGGUGAGGCGCGAAAGCGGGGGGAGCGAACAGGAUUAGAUACCCUAGUAGUC